This 442-nucleotide ribosomal RNA is filed under the name uncultured Fibrobacter sp. Its description in RNAcentral is "partial 16S ribosomal RNA". It matches the Rfam family "Bacterial small subunit ribosomal RNA", at positions 341 to 783 of the family's 1533-position model. Lineage: Bacteria; Pseudomonadati; Fibrobacterota; Fibrobacteria; Fibrobacterales; Fibrobacteraceae. The record is from RNAcentral.
ACGGAAGGCAGCAGUGGGGAAUAUUGCACAAUGGGGGAAACCCUGAUGCAGCAACGCCACGUGUGGGAAGAAGCAUUUCGGUGUGUAAACCACUGUCGUGAGGGAAUAAUGCUUGGCCUCGGCCAAGUUGAAUGUACCUCGAAAGGAAGCACCGGCAAACUUCGUGCCAGCAGCCGCGGUAAUACGAGGGGUGCAAGCGUUGUUCGGAAUCACUGGGCGUAAAGGGAGCGCAGGCGGAGAUGCAAGCAGUCAGUACAAUACCGGGGCCCAACCCCGGACCUGCAGACUGGACUGUUUCUCUUGGAUAGUUCAGGGGCAAGCGGAAUUCCUGGUGUAGCAGUGGAAUGCGUAGAGAUCAGGAAGAACACCGAUGACGAAGGCAGCUUGCUGGGGACUUAUCGACGCUCAUGCUCGAAAGUGCGGGUAGCAAACAGGAUUAGAU